Molecule: long non-coding RNA, 738 nt
Organism: Triticum aestivum (bread wheat)
Lineage: Eukaryota; Viridiplantae; Streptophyta; Magnoliopsida; Poales; Poaceae
Exons: 2
Source: RefSeq, a predicted model, not a curated record
UCCCUUAUCUCUCUCGUCUGCUCCAUCUCUCCUGCUCCCCUCCUUCGUCUCUCCCGCAUGCACGCUCCAGCUCGCCAUCAACAUCGCCGCUUCUAUCCUCUUCGAUUUCUCAGCCCAGAUUCAAUCUGCUGCACAUCGUGCGUCCUUCCCACCUCGUUUCCGGCCACAACAUCCACCACACGGCCCAGAUCCAAACCUAAACCCAUGCGUGAUCUGCUCCAUGAUGCAGCCACCAGUGAGCUCGCCUGUGCGACAUCCCUACAGCAGGUGCUUGUGCCCGCCAUCUCCAUCAUACAUCACAGGUUGGACGGAGGCUGUAGGUACCUAUAGGUCGUCGACGCCAGCCAGGUGGGAUGCUAACCAGCAGGCAUGAGGAGCUCAAGGAUAGGGGGGCGCCAGCAGCAUGCAGACGAGUCACGAUGACAAGUAGAAGAAUCGGCAAUGGAAACUGAUGGCAAUGGCGACGAAAACUUUUGGCACGAUGAUAACUUAACUCAUGAUAAUGGUCGAUGGGCCUGCUUGCUUCCCAACACAUGGAAUAACAAGCGAUGCGGUUGCAUCGUCAAGCUCCGUGAAGCAAAUAGGAAGCAUAUAUGUAGCUUGGAAAUAGGAAACGACAUGGGCGGACGCUUGUCAAUGUUUAUGAAAGCAAACAAGAACCUAUUAGGAAGCAUAUGUGGCACAAUCAAUCAAAAGAAAUAUUUGUGAUUACCGAUCUCAUAAAAAAGGUUAUCCUUA